This 326-nucleotide ribosomal RNA is filed under the name uncultured eukaryote. RNAcentral's name for it is "partial 18S ribosomal RNA". It matches the Rfam family "Eukaryotic small subunit ribosomal RNA", at positions 1470 to 1796 of the family's 1831-position model. The record is from RNAcentral.
CCCUUAGAUGUUCUGGGCCGCACGCGCGCUACACUGAUGCAUUCAACGAGUCCAACCUUGACCGAGAGGUCCGGGUAAUCUUUGAAACCGCAUCGUGAUGGGGCUAGAUUAUUGCAAUUAUUAAUCUUCAACGAGGAAUGCCUAGUAAGCGUGAUUCAUCAAAUCGCGUUGAUUACGUCCCUGCCCUUUGUACACACCGCCCGUCGCUCCUACCGAUUGAGUGUGUUGGUGAGGAGUUUGGAUUGGCCUCGGAAGGUGGUUCGCCACCGUCCGUAGCUGAGAAGUUCUCCAAACCGCCCCACUUAGAGGAAGGAGAAGUCGUAACA